RNAcentral lists this ribosomal RNA (468 nucleotides) under uncultured bacterium. RNAcentral describes it as "partial 16S ribosomal RNA". It matches the Rfam family "Bacterial small subunit ribosomal RNA", at positions 28 to 507 of the family's 1533-position model. The record is from RNAcentral.
GACGAACGCUGGCGGCGUGCUUAACACAUGCAAGUCGAACGGAAAGGCCCUGCUUUUGUGGGGUGCUCGAGUGGCGAACGGGUGAGUAACACGUGAGUAACCUGCCCUUGACUUUGGGAUAACUUCAGGAAACUGGGGCUAAUACUGGAUAGGAGCUCCUGCUGCAUGGCGGGGGUUGGAAAGUUUCGGCGGUUGGGGAUGGACUCGCGGCUUAUCAGCUUGUUGGUGGGGUAGUGGCUUACCAAGGCUUUGACGGGUAGCCGGCCUGAGAGGGUGACCGGCCACAUUGGGACUGAGAUACGGCCCAGACUCCUACGGGAGGCAGCAGUGGGGAAUAUUGCACAAUGGGCGGAAGCCUGAUGCAGCAACGCCGCGUGCGGGAUGACGGCCUUCGGGUUGUAAACCGCUUUCGCCUGUGACGAAGCGUGAGUGACGGUAAUGGGUAAAGAAGCACCGGCUAACUACGUG